This is a long non-coding RNA of Pan troglodytes (chimpanzee), 1731 nucleotides long. RefSeq lists it as uncharacterized. The record is from RefSeq and is a predicted model, not a curated record. The transcript has 2 exons. NCBI's taxonomy places the organism in Eukaryota, Metazoa, Chordata, Mammalia, Primates, Hominidae.
CAAGUGCCAGGCACUCUUCACGUGCAUUGUCUCGGGCAACCUGUAAACAGCCGAAGAGUUAGAUAAAAUUGCUGCCUCAUUCUACUAAUGAGAAAAAGGGCCACUGCAGGGGCCAUCCUGGAGGGAGUCACAAUGCAGGAGGACAGUGGCAAGUUCAAGAGCUACUGCAGCCGGGGAACAGCAGGACAGCAGCACGUUCAAGGGCUCUUGCAGCAGGACAUAGCAGGGAAAGGCCUCCCUGAGUCUAACCAAUUUACUCCUAUUGAUUUUCAGAUCAGAGGGGUUCAGCUCACAAAUCAAAAGAUGCUUUUCCCUCUCUGCCGCUAAAUCUGCAGCCUCUCCCAGACACCUCACAAAUUCUGCUUUGAUCUUGAUUAGCCUGGAUGCUUCUAGGUUGGAAACGGUAUGGAGGAGGCAGAGAUCUAAAGGUAAUCUGGGCUGCACCAGUCAGCCUGGCAUGGACUGGUGCAUGUACGUGUGCUCACAGGUCCUGGGCAAUGAGGCCGGGCAGCCCAGUGGUGAGAGGUCUGGGAGCUGGGUUCUGAUGUGGGCAUCCUCACCCACUUGUUUAUAACCUUUCACACUUAAACUCCCUAGGCUCUUUUUCUCAAUUGUCAAAUGGAAAUAAGAGCCACUCUAGCCUUAUGGCUAAGGAACUGGAGCUUCAGAAUCAAACAGAACUGGGUUCAACUCCCACCUAUGUCCUGUGUUACCUCAGGCAAGUCACAUCACCUCUCUGAGCCUCCAUUCCUUCAUCUGAAAAAUGAGCUUCCAGCAAUUCUGGCCUCUCAGAGUCAUUGUGAGAAUGACUCAAGAUGAUGCACAUAGAAGUAUUUAGCACUUGAAUGGCUUCUAGCAAGAUCAGGAAGUAUUUAGCACUUGAAUGGCUUCUAGCAAGAUCAGGAAACGCCACCUAUUACUACUAAAUGGGGCUUUGGUAAGAAUAAAACAGAAUCAUGUGUGUAAAGUGCUUUGAAAAGUACAAAGGACUGAAAAGACUCUGAAGGCUUCUGGAAAUCAGUCUACCACAUUUUGGAGCUGGGGUUAGGAAAGACCCUUGGAAGGGGAUCCAAAGAAAGACACUCCAGAGCAAGAUAUAUAGGAGGCCCAAGGACACUCUGCAGUGCAGGGCAGGCCACUUUCUGGGGCUCCAGGUGUUUUCUAUAUGAUUGUGAUCUUGAUGCUCCCCACCUCACCCCACUGUCACCCCCAAAAAUUCCCAUUGUAUACAAUUCCUUUUACAGGUGAGAGUCAUGCUGGUAACACCGCCUGUCAUCAGAGCCUUCCAGCUCUGGCAAGGACUGCUUGUUGCUAUGCCAACAACCAUUCUCACCUUCCUCUUUUAUAAAACGAUGCCAGUUGUAUUUAAGCAGCAAUAAUUCCCAGAUUCUGUUGAAUCUAGGUAUGGCCAGGUGACUAUGUUGUGGCCAACAAGAUGUAACUAGAAGUGUUUAUGGAGCUUUUGCAAAAACUCUUUGAAAAGAAAGUUAUUUCUCCCCCUUUUCCCCCUUUAUGACCAGACCUACAGCGUGGCAUGGAUAUCCACUGGCCGGCGCACCAGAAGCCAUGUUAGACUAAGAGGUGACUCAGGAUGGCCAUGCACUGGAGGUAGCAAAGCAGAGAGAAAGGAUUCUGCCUGAUGACAGCCUACAGCCUCCAUUACCAGGCCUGGGCCAAUCACCUCUGGACUUUUUCUACAUGAGAGAAUAAACCAUUAUAUGUUUAAAUCUG